GAUACUAAGCUGCUUUGCAGAUGGCCAGGCUGGCAUUGGCUGCUGUGUGUACAGAGUGCUGCUGGCCCCUCCAGCCUCACCAUCAGGCUGGCUUUCUCCAAAUGUUUCCAUUGUAUGGCUGAAUUUCCUGGCUACUCGAUAUGGAGAAAAAAAUCUUUGGGCAUGUGUGGCUUACCUCAGUCCUGGGGGACAUCAGGUGACUUCUAGUUUGGCUGCUAUGCUCUCAUAAGGAAGCACGGGCAGAGUAGGCACACAGUCUGGGUUUACUUUAGCAAGUGACAGAGCCACUGCCAACUCCAUAACAGAGGGUAGACCAAGCCAUGCUGCAAAGACCUGCCUGUGGUAUCUGGAGAGUCAUGAUGCCAACCAGAGAAAGGAAACUGAUUCUAAGCUGUGUGCCUCUCUUGAAGAUUGGCAGCCAAUUCCAAACUCUGUUCUUUUUAUCUUGCAUGAGAGAAGACAGGAAAUUUGAUCACAGCCUGGAAUACUACACCCAGGAAAAAGAAAACA
Long non-coding RNA from Mus musculus (house mouse), 510 nucleotides. RefSeq annotates it as predicted gene, 54204. The transcript has 3 exons. NCBI's taxonomy places the organism in Eukaryota, Metazoa, Chordata, Mammalia, Rodentia, Muridae. The record is from RefSeq and is a predicted model, not a curated record.